GUGGUGCUAUACUGCAGUUGAGCGAUGAAGAUUGGUGCUUGCACCAAUUUGAAGAGCAGCGAACGGGUGAGUAACGCGUGGGGAAUCUGCCUUUGAGCGGGGGACAACAUUUGGAAACGAAUGCUAAUACCGCAUAACAACUUUAAACAUAAGUUUUAAGUUUGAAAGAUGCAAUUGCAUCACUCAAAGAUGAUCCCGCGUUGUAUUAGCUAGUUGGUGAGGUAAAGGCUCACCAAGGCGAUGAUACAUAGCCGACCUGAGAGGGUGAUCGGCCACAUUGGGACUGAGACACGGCCCAAACUCCUACGGGAGGCAGCAGUAGGGAAUCUUCGGCAAUGGACGAAAGUCUGACCGAGCAACGCCGCGUGAGUGAAGAAGGUUUUCGGAUCGUAAAACUCUGUUGGUAGAGAAGAACGUUGGUGAGAGUGGAAAGCUCAUCAAGUGACGGUAACUACCCAGAAAGGGACGGCUAACUACGUGCCAGCAGCCGCGGUAAUACGUAGGUCCCGAGCGUUGUCCGGAUUUAUUGGGCGUAAAGCGAGCGCAGGUGGUUUAUUAAGUCUGGUGUAAAAGGCAGUGGCUCAACCAUUGUAUGCAUUGGAAACUGGUAGACUUGAGUGCAGGAGAGGAGAGUGGAAUUCCAUGUGUAGCGGUGAAAUGCGUAGAUAUAUGGAGGAACACCGGUGGCGAAAGCGGCUCUCUGGCCUGUAACUGACACUGAGGCUCGAAAGCGUGGGGAGCAAACAGGAUUAGAUACCCUGGUAGUCCACGCCGUAAACGAUGAGUGCUAGAUGUAGGGAACUAUAAGUUCUCUG
Molecule: ribosomal RNA, 815 nt
Filed under: uncultured bacterium
Lineage: Bacteria
Description: bacterial SSU rRNA
Rfam family: Bacterial small subunit ribosomal RNA
Source: RNAcentral